This 497-nucleotide ribosomal RNA is filed under the name uncultured bacterium. Its description in RNAcentral is "partial 16S ribosomal RNA". It matches the Rfam family "Bacterial small subunit ribosomal RNA", at positions 28 to 507 of the family's 1533-position model. The record is from RNAcentral.
GAUGAACGCUGGCGGCGUGCCUAAUACAUGCAAGUCGAACGAACGGACGCGGCUCUUGCGGCGCUGAUGUUAGCGGCAGGCGGGAGUGUCACACGUGUAUCCCCUCCCUGUCAUACUGGGAUCACUUGGGAACACCGGCGCUUAUCGGAUAGAAUCUUUUGAUCCACGUGGUUCAUAGGUGAGAUUCGGUCUUUCGGUCUGUUAUCGCGGGAUCCGCGCUGAAUUGGCGAGUUGGUGAGGUAACGGCUUACCAAGGCAACGAUGCAUAGCAGACCUGAGAGGGGGAUCGGCCACAAUGGAACUGAGAGACGGUCCAGAAUCCUACGGGAGGCAGCAGUAGGGAAUCUUCCGCAAUGGGCGAAAGCCUGACGGAGCAACGCCGCGUGAGUGAUGAAGGUCUUCGGAUCGUAAAACUCUGUGAUUAGGGAAGAACAUAUGUGUAAGUAACUGUGCACAUCUUGACGGUACCUAAUCAGAAAGCCACGGCUAACGACGUG